Molecule: ribosomal RNA, 803 nt
Filed under: Eriphia verrucosa
Lineage: Eukaryota; Metazoa; Arthropoda; Malacostraca; Decapoda; Eriphiidae
Description: bacterial SSU rRNA
Rfam family: Eukaryotic small subunit ribosomal RNA
Source: RNAcentral
CAGUUCCUUUCUAAGAAUUAGCCAUGCAUGUCUAAGUACAAGCCGAUUUAAGGCGAAACCAAAUCAUGUCCCAGAGCGAAUGGCUCAUUAAAUCAGCUAUGAUUCAUUGGAUCUGUACCCACACUUACUUGGAUAACUGUGGUAAUUCUAGAGCUAAUACAUGCACCACGUCUCUGACCGCAAGGGAAGAGCGCUUUUAUUAGUUCAAAACCGGUCGGGCCUCGGUCCGUCACCCCACCGUGUUGAAUCUGAAUAACUUGUCGCUGAGCGCACGGUCUCCGCACCGGCGCCGCCUCUUUCAAGUGUCUGCCUUAUCAGCUUUCGAUUGUAGGUUAUACGCCUACAAUGGCUAUAACGGGUAACGGGGAAUCAGGGUUCGAUUCCGGAGAGGGAGCCUGAAAAACGGCUACCACAUCUAAGGAAGGCAGCAUGCACGCAAUUUACCCACUCCCGGCGCAAAAACAGGUUUGUGAUGCCCUUAGAGAUCAACGUGUCAUCCCCCUCCGAGAGGAGCGGGUAACCCGUUGAAAUCCUUUCAUGAUAGGGAUUGGGGUUUGCAAUUGUCUCCCAUGAACGAGGAAUUCCCAGUAAGCGCAAGUCAUGAGCUUGCGUUGAUUACGUCCCUGCCCUUUGUACACACCGCCCGUCGCUACUACCGAUUGAAUGAUUUAGUGAGGCCUUCGGACUGGCGCUCUUGGAUGCCUGGCCCAUGCGGUUCUGCUGGGCUCUCGGCGCCUCGAGCUGACGGAAAGAUGUCCAAACUUGAUCAUUUAGAGGAAGAAAAAUCGAAAAAAGUUACGGGG